GUCUAUGGCCAUACCACCCUGAGCGCGCCUGAUCUCGUCUGAUCGUGGAAGCUAAGCAGGUCGGGCCUGGUUAGUACUUGGAUGGGAGAGAGGAAAGUUGGGCCACACCAGAAGGGUGAGUAAGUCCGGAUAGGUC
This 136-nucleotide ribosomal RNA is filed under the name Castor canadensis (American beaver). Lineage: Eukaryota; Metazoa; Chordata; Mammalia; Rodentia; Castoridae. The record is from RNAcentral.